This 428-nucleotide ribosomal RNA is filed under the name uncultured prokaryote. RNAcentral's name for it is "bacterial SSU rRNA". It matches the Rfam family "Bacterial small subunit ribosomal RNA", at positions 355 to 774 of the family's 1533-position model. The record is from RNAcentral.
UUUGGAAUAUUCCGCAAUGGGCGAAAGCCUGACGGAGUGACGCCGCGUGAGGGAUGAAGGCCUUCGGGUUGUAAACCUCUUUUGUUCGUUAGAAAGUAUCCCGGCGCUAAUACCGCCGGGGUCUGAUAAAGGCGGAAGAAUAAGCACCGGCUAACUCUGUGCCAGCAGCCGCGGUAAUACAGAGGGUGCGAACGUUGUUCGGUGUCAUUGGGCUUAAAGGGUGCGUAGGCGGUCAUGCAAGUUGGGUGUGAAAGCCCUUGGCUUAACCAAGGAAUUGCGCCCAAUACUACAUGACUCGAGGGUCAAAGGGGAGAGCGGAACUCCAGGUGUAGCGGUAAAAUGCGUAGAUAUCAGGAGGAACACCGGUGGCGAAGGCGACUUUCUGGCCCUAUACUGACGCUGAGACGCGAAAGCGUGGGUAGCAAACA